Molecule: ribosomal RNA, 253 nt
Filed under: uncultured bacterium
Lineage: Bacteria
Description: partial 16S ribosomal RNA
Rfam family: Bacterial small subunit ribosomal RNA
Source: RNAcentral
UACAGGGGGGGCAAGCGUUGUUCGGAAUUACUGGGCGUAAAGGGCGCGUAGGCGGUGUGUCAAGUCAGGCGUGAAAGCCCCGGGCUCAACCUGGGAACAGCGCUUGAGACUGGCACGCUCGAGUUCGGGAGAGGAUGGUGGAAUUCCCAGUGUAGAGGUGAAAUUCGUAGAUAUUGGGAAGAACACCAGUGGCGAAGGCGGCGACCUGGGCCAAUAUUGACGCUGAGGUGCGAAAGCGUGGGGAGCAAACAGG